UACAGAGGUCUCAAGCGUUGUUCGGAUUCAUUGGGCGUAAAGGGUGCGUAGGCGGCGCGGUAAGUCGGGUGUGAAAUCUCGGAGCUUAACUCCGAAACUGCAUUCGAUACUGCCGUGCUUGAGGACUGGAGAGGAGACUGGAAUUUACGGUGUAGCGGUGAAAUGCGUAGAUAUCGUAAGGAAGACCAGUGGCGAAGGCGGGUAUCUGGACAGUUCCUGACGCUGAGGCACGAAGGCCAGGGGAGCAAACGGG
RNAcentral lists this ribosomal RNA (253 nucleotides) under uncultured bacterium. Its description in RNAcentral is "partial 16S ribosomal RNA". It matches the Rfam family "Bacterial small subunit ribosomal RNA", at positions 524 to 776 of the family's 1533-position model. The record is from RNAcentral.